GAUGAAGAACGCAGCGAAAUGCGAUAAGUAAUGUGAAUUGCAGAAUUCAGUGAAUCAUCGAAUCUUUGAACGCACAUUGCGCCCGCCAGUAUUCUGGCGGGCAUGCCUGUUCGAGCGUCAUUUCAACCAUCAAGCCCUGCUUGUGUUGGGGUCCUGCGGCUGCCCGCAGGCCCUGAAAACCAGUGGCGGGCUCGCUAGUCACACCGAGCGUAGUAACUCUACAUCGCUAUGGUCGUGCGGCGGGUUCUUGCCGUAAAACCCCCAAUUUUUUAAGGUUGACCUCGGAUCAGGUAGGAAUACCCGCUGAACUUAAGCAUAUCAAUAAGCGGAGGA
This 333-nucleotide unclassified non-coding RNA is filed under the name soil metagenome. RNAcentral describes it as "partial contains 5.8S ribosomal RNA, internal transcribed spacer 2, and large subunit ribosomal RNA". The stretch from base 1 to 120 matches the Rfam family "5.8S ribosomal RNA", at positions 35 to 154 of the family's 154-position model. The record is from RNAcentral.